RNAcentral lists this long non-coding RNA (234 nucleotides) under Linum usitatissimum (flax). RNAcentral describes it as "long non-coding RNA (LUSI_LNC002152)". Lineage: Eukaryota; Viridiplantae; Streptophyta; Magnoliopsida; Malpighiales; Linaceae. The record is from RNAcentral.
UGUUUUGUUCAUUUCUUGUGUCGGAAGGAAACGAAAGAAGAAUAACAUACCUGGAGUUAAGAUGUCAAAUUUGUCAAUGUAGUGUGAACUAGUUAAGCCAUCUUUGGAACCGUUGGAGUCGUUGGCGAGCCUUUUCCUGAUGGAGGGCCGACAAGCCAUUCUGUAGGAGACUUCUCCUUCCCCCUUGUCUGGUCCGGAACAGAUAAUCUUCCGUGUCUAAGACGUAAGAUAUCU